This is a non-coding RNA of Ceratotherium simum simum (southern white rhinoceros), 554 nucleotides long. NCBI's taxonomy places the organism in Eukaryota, Metazoa, Chordata, Mammalia, Perissodactyla, Rhinocerotidae. The record is from RefSeq and is a predicted model, not a curated record.
AGGAGAGGUCCUUCCAUCCUUGGAUGCAAAACCCCCACAAUAUUGCCUGAUGUUCAUAGAAUAGGAUGUAUUCUUUCCCAUUUGAAAUAAUGGCAUAACUUUGGAAGCACAACUUGACUGCAUAUCACUCCUACCAGUGGCUUGCCAGGUGACCUGAGCGAAGUCAUUAAACUGGGUCUUGUUUGUAAAACUAAGGGACCAGUAUUUUAUUAUUUUGCAAAGCUUAAGAGAGCAAAGAUGAGAGUUUUGCAAAGCUGAAAGCUUAAGAUGUAAUUUUUCCUAUAAUUGUAAAUCUUUUCUGUCUCCUGGGGGCUUCCUUUAAAUUAGCACUGGGUGAAAACUAAAAUGGGGCAAAGAUAUCUUCAUAUCCAUAUUCCAUAGAUUCUAUCUUGGCAGAAUGGAUUUCUCCAGCAGAACCUCUCAAAAAGUGUUAUAUUGAGACCAUGACCCCUAGAAUUGGUUUCAUAGCUAAUGUUCAUGCAAUACUAGUACAGCAGAGGAGUAGGAGAAAGGAAACCUCCGACUUCUCUAGAAAAGUAAAAUGUUCUGAAAGA